Molecule: ribosomal RNA, 253 nt
Filed under: uncultured bacterium
Lineage: Bacteria
Description: partial 16S ribosomal RNA
Rfam family: Bacterial small subunit ribosomal RNA
Source: RNAcentral
UACGUAGGGCGCAAGCGUUAUCCGGAAUUAUUGGGCGUAAAGAGCUCGUAGGCGGUUUGUCGCGUCUGCCGUGAAAGUCCGGGGCUCAACUCCGGAUCUGCGGUGGGUACGGGCAGACUAGAGUGAUGUAGGGGAGACUGGAAUUCCUGGUGUAGCGGUGAAAUGCGCAGAUAUCAGGAGGAACACCGGUGGCGAAGGCGGGUCUCUGGGCCGAUACUGACGCUGAGGAGCGAAAGCGUGGGAAGCGAACAGG